Molecule: long non-coding RNA, 335 nt
Organism: Mustela erminea (ermine)
Lineage: Eukaryota; Metazoa; Chordata; Mammalia; Carnivora; Mustelidae
Exons: 4
Source: RefSeq, a predicted model, not a curated record
CUGGGAUUAACCCAGGAAUGGACUUAGUAUGUUCUCAGUUAUAAACAAUUUCAGCUUUGAUAGACUUUGAAAUAAGAAUGCUGUGGCCAUUAGAAGAAUGGACAACCUCCUUCUUGACAAGUUUUUCACAUUUCUGCAAAUAACAUUUUCAUUCUCCCAAAUUCAAUUUUCACUCCUUCAUUUUCUGUACUGCUUUGCAUAGGAAGAGAUAGCUGUUAAAGAUCAUUCUACUUGGAGCCACUCUUAUGACCACAGGUGUAUAAACAGGACAGUGAGGGCAGUUCACCUGUGGUUUGGAAGCAUCUACCUUAACUAAACGUCACCACAAUGUGUUG